UUGCAUUAAAUGUGGAGUCUGAUGUAACAAAUGUGGACUCUGUUAGAAUACAUCAAAUCAGCCUUGCUGGUGGUUUGAUUUGUUCCAAUAGUUGAUCCAUCUAUUGCAACAUCAACAACAACAUAAACUACAAAGAAACAACAAAUAAAAAACAUUAACAACAAAGAAAAAAAUAAUAUUUGUUCCAACAACAUCAUCAACAACAAAGAAGCAACAUCGUAUGUUCCAACACCA
Molecule: long non-coding RNA, 234 nt
Filed under: Capsicum annuum
Lineage: Eukaryota; Viridiplantae; Streptophyta; Magnoliopsida; Solanales; Solanaceae
Description: long non-coding RNA (CANN_LNC008071)
Source: RNAcentral